CACCAACCAACUUUCAAAGUAUUUUCCAACCCCAUAUCUCCAUCUGUAGUUAAGGAUAAACUCCUUUCUCUUUGCUAAACACAAAAUACCUUGAGUAUGAAAGCUCAUUUUCCUUUCAGAAGAAAAGAGUAGGCUUUGGUGGAGUUGAGAAAUGGUAAGGUGGUGCAGUAGGUGCAGGUUGCAGCAGUCAAUGAGGGCACUCAACCUCUUUGUUAACAUUCUUGGAGUUGUCAUGAUUCUUUACUCCCUUUGCCUUCACAAGACUUGGACUGAUGGUGGCUUCACAACACAUAUUUGUUCAUCUACACAUGUUUAGGGAUUGGAAUUGUUGUCUGCUUGAGCUGUCUCUCUGCUCAUAUGGUCGCUAACUAACAUUAACCAUUACAUCCACGAUAGCCACAAAAAGUUCAAGAAAUUUGUACUCUUCCACCUAGUCAUAUGUAAACUGGUUACACUUUUAGUAUUUUUGAUCCAGAUAAAGGGUGUUUUGCUUGCUAUGAUUAUUUGGGCCAUGGGAGUUGCAACUGUUCCUCUAAUUCUGAGAUGCUACCAAAUGGUACAUAUUCAUUCUUGGUUGAUCAAAAUGCAGAUGAACUACAUGAUCCUAGGGCUGUUGAAAUUAAUCUUGAAGUUGAGUAACCAUGCAAUCUGUUGUAUCUUUAAAUUCAUUAUUUUAAUAUUCUUUUUGGUGAUUAGAGAGGAACAAAAUUAGCAAUUUUAUCUUAUUUACACCAUCAUAUUUUGUUCAUAUGUCUCAGAGAUUUUUUUGAGUUUAUCUCCUG
Non-coding RNA from Nicotiana tabacum (common tobacco), 782 nucleotides. Lineage: Eukaryota; Viridiplantae; Streptophyta; Magnoliopsida; Solanales; Solanaceae. The record is from RefSeq and is a predicted model, not a curated record.